Molecule: ribosomal RNA, 254 nt
Filed under: uncultured bacterium
Lineage: Bacteria
Description: partial 16S ribosomal RNA
Rfam family: Bacterial small subunit ribosomal RNA
Source: RNAcentral
UACGUAGGGACCAAGCGUUGUUCGGAUUUACUGGGCGUAAAGGGCGCGUAGGCGGCAAUUCAAGUCAUCUGUGAAAUCUCUGGGCUUAACCCGGAACGGCCAGGUGAUACUGCUUUGCUAGAGUGCGGAAGGGGCAAUCGGAAUUCUUGGUGUAGCGGUGAAAUGCGUAGAUAUCAAGAGGAACACCUGAGGUGAAGACGGGUUGCUGGGCCGACACUGACGCUGACAGCGCGAAAGCCAGGGGAGCAAACGGG